GAGCCAGGGACGGAGCCCUGGGGUCACGCGCUGAGUGAGCCACGAGGGGCGCGAUCAGGCCGGACCCAGCCGAGUGCAGCUCGCCGUCCUGCUCCCUGCUGGCCAGCAUGUCCUUCGUCCCUGUGGCCGAGGAUUCUGACUUCCCCAUCCAAAACCUGCCCUACGGCGUCUUUUCCACCCCAGACAACCCAAGACCGAGGAUCGGCGUGGCCAUUGGCGACCAGAUCCUGGACCUCAGCGUCAUUAAGCACCUCUUCACCGGGCCCGUUCUCUCCAAACACCAGGAUGUCUUUGAUCAGCCGGCUCUCAAUAGCUUCAUGGGCCUCGGCCAGACCGCCUGGAGGGAGGCGAGAGAGUCCUUGCAGAAUCUGCUGUCCACAAGCUGUGCCAGGCUCCGAGACGACACGGACCUUCGGAGACGGGCGUUCACGGCCCAGGCUUCUGCUGCGAUGCACCUGCCAGCCGCCAUAGGUGACUACACGGACUUCUACUCCUCCCGCCAGCACGCCACCAACGUGGGGAUCAUGUUCCGGGGCAGCGAGAACGCGCUCAUGCCAAACUGGCUGCACUUGCCAGUGGGUUACCACGGCCGUGCUUCCUCCGUCGUGGUGUCAGGCACGCCGAUCCGAAGGCCCACGGGGCAGAUGAGGCCCGACGACGCUAAGCCCCCCGUCUUUGGCCCCUGCAAGCUCCUGGAUAUGGAGCUGGAGAUGGCUUUCUUCGUAGGCCCCGGGAACAACUUGGGAGAGCCGGUCCCCAUCUCCAGGGCCCACGAGCACAUUUUCGGGAUGGUCCUCAUGAACGACUGGAGCGCUCGAGACAUCCAGAAGUGGGAGUACGUCCCCCUUGGGCCGUUCCUGGGGAAGAGUUUCGGCACGACCAUCUCUCCGUGGGUGGUGCCCAUGGACGCCCUCCUGCCCUUUGCCGUGCCCAACCCGGAGCAGGACCCUAAGCCCCUGCCGUAUCUCCGCCACGACCGGCCCUACACGUUCGACAUCAAUCUCUCUGUCAGCCUGAAAGGAGAAGGAAUGAGCCAGGCAGCCACCAUAUGCAGGUCCAACUUUAAGUACAUGUACUGGACGAUGCUCCAGCAGCUGACCCACCACUCUGUCAAUGGCUGCAACCUUCGGCCAGGGGACCUCUUGGCUUCUGGAACCAUCAGCGGGCCGGAGCCCGAAAGCUUUGGCUCCUUGUUGGAGCUGUCCUGGAGGGGAACGAAGGCCAUCGACCUGGGGAACGGACAGACCAGGAAGUUUCUGCUGGACGGGGAUGAAGUCAUCAUAACAGGGGCACUAAGGACACUGGCAGCGUUGGGCCACCCACCAGCCCCACCGUCCGUCCGCCUCCUGAAGUCUUCAUCCUGCAAAACUGAAACUCGGUCGCCAUUAAACAGCCGGCCCCCGGCACCCACCACCUCCUUUCUGUCUCCGUGCACUUGGCUCCUCUCGGGACCUCACGGGAGUGGAUGCUGCAGCCUCUGUCCCUUUCUGGUGGCUCACUUCAGUCGGCAUCGUGUCCACCAGGCUCAUCUGUGCUGUGGCAGCCGUCGGGCCUUCCUUCCUUGCUAAGCCGGGUAAUAUUCCGCUCCGUUCCUCCACGGAUGGGUAGGUGGGCUGCUUCCAGCCCUUGACCGUUGCGGACGAUGCUGCCGCGAAUCUGUGCGCGCGGGUGUCUCCUGGGGGCCCCGCUUCGAUGCCUUGAGGUGCGUAGAUCCAGAGCCGAAUCGCCGGAUCGCUGCUAUUCUAGUCUGUUGUUACCUCUUACCCGUUUUUCUCUCGGAUUUUUGGUCUCUCUCUUGACCGUGGAAGCACAGAGUUGAGAUUAAUAUUUUAUUUGUUCGUCUGAUUUUUAUUUCCUAUUUGUGACUUUUCCUUUAUCCCUGAGUCCUACUCCUGUGUCUCCGUUGUCUUCCUCCGCCCGAUUUUCGCGACUAGUAUUAGCCCUUGGUUGUUUCUCUGUUCUUGGCUGUGCUUACGUUUCUGUAACUGAACUGUCAACGUUCGAUGUCCUUUCAUUCCCAGUCAUUACAGGUGAAGGAAUUGGGGAGCUCAUCCCAAUUUCCACCCUCUUUCCCUGUUCUUUACGUUGUAGCCGGUUCUGUUAUCUCACCCUUCCAUACUGUUUUUUAAUCUGCGUUUUCCGGUUCGACACAUUUAGUGCUCACCUGGGCCUGCGGCUGGGGUUGCCCAUCAGCACAGAUGUUCUCCAGUGCGACUCUCAGGAAGGAAGGGCUCGUGGGGACAAUACUCCCUUCGGUCCUAACUGUUGGCUUCUUUGAAGGUUAUUUAUUUUUGAGAGAGAAAGUGUGAGCGGGGGAGGGGCAGAGAGCGAGGGAGACACAGAGUCCGACGCAGGCUCCAGGCUCCCAGCCGUCCGCACGGAGCCCGACGCGGGGCUCGAACCCACGAACCGCGAGAUCACGACCUGAGCCGAAGUCGGAUGCUUCACCGAGCCACCCAGAACCGACUAUUAGCAUGGCCUUUCUUCCCGCACGCCCACUGGAGCAUUCUGACCCGCUCCCAGGCAGGCUGUUGCUUCGGAUGAAGGUCGCACACCCGGGGACGGGAAAGAGAAAAGCCCACGAAGUUUCGCAGGAAGAUUUCCCACCUUACAACAAGAGAGAGGGUCUGCGCGCGGUGAGGACAGCGGCUGCUGGUGUCCGGGCACAAUUCUAGUUUGGAGAAGGGUCCCAGGUGGGAGCAGUGGCAAUGGGGUUGCUAUGGUUACCAGGCUAAGCCGCUUCCCAUUCUCAGGGGCCUGAGGAUGUGGGGCUUCUGGGGCCACAGUGGGCCGGGGGCAGGGGGACCCACGGGGGUUCUGGGGAACGCGAGUUCCUGUGUUUGGAGGGACGGGCGUGGGGGCGGUCAAGCUAUAGGAAUGGGUGGAAUCUGACCGCGACAUUGAAGGCCCAGACGGGCAGUCGGCCAGCGGAGAGGUGCCGAGGCUGUGAGCUCGGGUGGUGGCGGGACAGAUGAGCAGUGUGGGAGCAGGAGGGGGGAUGCCUGGUUCCGGGCACCCCCCCUUCCCUGGAUGUCCGAGGGGUCACACGCUCCCCUUCGUCCUAGACUGGACCAGACAUUUCUAGGAAAUGAAGCUAACCUUUCUUUCUUUCUUUUUUAUUUUUCAUGUUUAUUUUUGAGAGAGAGAGAGAGAGAGAGACAGAGCAUGAGCAGGGUCGGGGCAGAUACAGAGGGAGACACAGAAUCCGAAGUGGGCUCCAGGCUCCGAGCUGUCAGCACAGAGAGCCUGACGCGGGGCUUGAACCCACGAACCGUGAGAUCGUGACCUGAGCCAAAGUUGGAUGCUUCACCGACCGAGCCACCCAGGUGCCCCCUAACGUUUCUAAUUUGAUUGCCAUUUCAUUUGUGUCCUAUAUAAUUGCUGACCUCUUGCAUUAGUAAACACCGACGACCAGCCUUUCACAGAGCUUUUAAACGGGAGAAUAUCAAGCCUUGUCGUCCAGACCAUGACAUCGGGUUGAGGGCGAGGGCAGGCGAGCCGUGAGCCCCGCAGAGCAGGGCCGAACAGCAGCUCUUUCUCAAGCCGCCCUUCACAGCCCACUGAGGCCUCGGGCACAGGACCCCCGGACCUGUGCCGCUAACUGUGCGCCCGCCCCCCCCAAAACACAACCAACAGCCUCGGCAGGAAGCUCCUUUCAUAGUCAGGUGCACGGGCCGUCCAGGUCUUCCCGGUGGAGUUCAAGCCCAGCGCCCUCCCCCGUGGAAACAGCAGGUGACGGCACCCCGCGCGCUUGUUAGGACAGCCACGUGGCUGAGCUCACGUCCCGGAACACAACGUCCAGGCUCAAAUUCCCACCACGCGUGUGACACCACAUGGUGAUAGAGUUUUUUCAAGUCUCGGUUUCCUUGCCUUUAAACUGGGGAUAGUGAUUCCCCCAUGAACUUGCUGGAUCUGUGACAACAGAUGGGGACAGACGUCGAGAGUGCUUAGCACGGUACCCGACACAGAGGAGACACGCGGUGCAAAUGUCGGCUGUUGUUUUAUGUUUGAUUGGACGGCUCCCCUCGCGGGACUCGGUCCCCCAAGCGGGCUGCGCUCGUCCUUCGGCCCGCAAACCCUGCCGGGCUCUCCGUGGCGGCUCCCCCAGAACACAGCCAAUCACACAGCCAAUCACUGGGUACCCUCUGCCAAGGGGACACCCCACGCUGACCUGAUCCCCCUUGGAACAUGUCCCUGCACCCAAACAGAGAUCAGAGGCUAAGCUGCUUCCCCCCCACAGUAACUCAGAGUGGCAGGGGUGAACUGUGACACACGGGCGUGGUUGUCCCCGAGAGUGACUCACCUCCCUGAAACUCCAAGGCAGGCAGCCGCAGGGGCCCCGCAGUUCCCAGCCGCGGGACUCCUCUGGACGCGCAGGGCCGGCCUGUGGGUUCUGCAAGGGCUCGGGAAGGGGGUCGCCGUCACCGGGCUCCCCGCCCACCCCUCCACCCCCAUACACAGAGGAAAGAGGUGUCCCUCGGGACAGGAGCCAGUCUGCUGUGGAGAAGCCGAAGGACCCUGAGCAAGCCACGGGGUCUGCUGUCCUUGCUGCAAAAUGAGCAGGUCGUCUCGGGGGCCGCAGGCCUCCUGUGCAGGGUGGCACGCAUCAGACAACAGGGGACCCCCAGCCUUCAGUGCAUUGACGGGCCUCCCGGGGACAGGGCUGGGGGCAGGGCGGGUUCUGGACACCUGACACUGGGAAGCUGCUCCUGUGAGAUCGGGGCAAUAAAUCACUAAACAUUUUUGUUUUGUUUUAAUUUUUUAAUGUCUAUUUAUUUUUGAAAGAGAGAGACAGAGCGGGGGGCUCGAACUCACGGACCGUGAGAUCAUGACCUGAGCCGGAGUCAGAUGCCCGACCGACUGAGCCACCCAGGCGCCCCAAAACAUUUCUAAACAAAGCCAACAAAACCCAAAGUUUGGCUUUUGCCGGAAGAUUGACAAGACUUCUAUUUUCUGUAGGGAUGAUUUUAUAAAACUAGUUGAAAUAGAAAGAGAUCAAAUGUUAUGCAGCUGGGUCAGUGGUUAAUUUUUUUUAAAGUUAAUAUUUUUAUAAAUUUUGUGACACCUGUGGUCGCUUUAAAAACAUUCUUAAGUGUAUUUAUUUGGAGAGGGAAAGAGCACACGCGUGAGUGGGGGAGGGGCAGAGAGAGGGAGACACAGAAUCCCAGGCCGGCUCCAGGCUCUGAGCUCUCAGCACAGAGCCCGACACAGGGCUUGAUCUCAUGAACCCUGAGAUCAUGACCUGAGCCGAGAUCGAGAGUCCGACACUUAAUCAACCGAGCCACCCAGGCACCCCUCUUUCUUUUUUAAUUAAAGAAUGUUGAGAUGAUUUUAGUGCUUGCCAUUUGCCGUGAUAUAUUUUCUCAUUCUAAAUAAAGACUGACUUUCGUGCUUAA
This is an RNA transcript of Acinonyx jubatus (cheetah), 5396 nucleotides long. It is a transcript of the gene named fumarylacetoacetate hydrolase, with no coding region annotated. The record is from RefSeq and is a predicted model, not a curated record. The transcript is spliced from 16 exons. NCBI's taxonomy places the organism in Eukaryota, Metazoa, Chordata, Mammalia, Carnivora, Felidae.